This 509-nucleotide ribosomal RNA is filed under the name Fusarium oxysporum. Its description in RNAcentral is "eukaryotic LSU rRNA". The stretch from base 144 to 297 matches the Rfam family "5.8S ribosomal RNA". The record is from RNAcentral. Lineage: Eukaryota; Fungi; Ascomycota; Sordariomycetes; Hypocreales; Nectriaceae.
UUUACAACUCCCAAACCCCUGUGAACAUACCACUUGUUGCCUCGGCGGAUCAGCCCGCUCCCGGUAAAACGGGACGGCCCGCCAGAGGACCCCUAAACUCUGUUUCUAUAUGUAACUUCUGAGUAAAACCAUAAAUAAAUCAAAACUUUCAACAACGGAUCUCUUGGUUCUGGCAUCGAUGAAGAACGCAGCAAAAUGCGAUAAGUAAUGUGAAUUGCAGAAUUCAGUGAAUCAUCGAAUCUUUGAACGCACAUUGCGCCCGCCAGUAUUCUGGCGGGCAUGCCUGUUCGAGCGUCAUUUCAACCCUCAAGCACAGCUUGGUGUUGGGACUCGCGUUAAUUCGCGUUCCUCAAAUUGAUUGGCGGUCACGUCGAGCUUCCAUAGCGUAGUAGUAAAACCCUCGUUACUGGUAAUCGUCGCGGCCACGCCGUUAAACCCCAACUUCUGAAUGUUGACCUCGGAUCAGGUAGGAAUACCCGCUGAACUUAAGCAUAUCAAUAAGCGGGAGG